RNAcentral lists this ribosomal RNA (253 nucleotides) under uncultured bacterium. Its description in RNAcentral is "partial 16S ribosomal RNA". It matches the Rfam family "Bacterial small subunit ribosomal RNA", at positions 524 to 776 of the family's 1533-position model. The record is from RNAcentral.
UACAGAGGGGGCAAGCGUUGUUCGGAAUUACUGGGCGUAAAGGGCGCGUAGGCGGCCUUCUAAGUCGAACGUGAAAUCCCCGGGCUCAACCCGGGAACUGCGUCCGAGACUGGAAGGCUUGAAUCCGAGAGAGGGGCGUGGAAUUCCGGGUGUAGCGGUGAAAUGCGUAGAUAUUGGGAGGAACACCAGUGGCGAAGGCGGCUCACUGGACCGGUUCUGACGCUGAGGCGCGAAAGCGUGGGGAGCAAACGGG